GGCCCUACACAGGCAGCAAGGAUGGAAAACUGAAAGGAUCAACAGGAGUUAAUAUUUAUUCACUGGAAAUUGGAUUAUACAGGACAUCUGCUGAUUUCUUGGUCAUCUCUUAGUCAUCCUUCAGUACAUUUUGUUGUCCUGUCCUGGUUUCCUGAUACACCAGCAAAGAUGAGAAGAUUGACAGCUUUUCCAACUCUGAUGUCACAUCUGGUAUUCAUCCACCUGGAACCUCUUCUUACUGCUCGAAGUACACAUAACCGGAAGCUCCACCAUCUUUGAGUCAGUAACAACUAUAAUCCCAUCUGGUUUGCCCACGGGUGCCCUAACACUUCUUAUUGUGUUGUCUUGUUCUUACAAUGUGUAUGUGUAUUGUGCGAUUUUUGAGACCCUGACGACCCUCCAACUGCACUGUGCCCAAAAAGUCUGUUAACACAGGCAAGGAUUGGUUGUCCACAGCCAGUGCAACAUCACGUUCACAGGCUCAUUGAGUAAUGUGUCUGUUGCUUGAAGGUUGAUGCAGGGAACAUUUAAAAGCAGUUGCUGACCUGACCUUGUGCUCACUUUCUGUCUUCUCUCUGAGGAAGGUUAUCUGUUCUUUA
Polypterus senegalus (gray bichir) is the source of this 599-nucleotide long non-coding RNA. RefSeq lists it as uncharacterized. The record is from RefSeq and is a predicted model, not a curated record. The transcript has 3 exons. NCBI's taxonomy places the organism in Eukaryota, Metazoa, Chordata, Cladistia, Polypteriformes, Polypteridae.